CCUACGGGUGGCAGCAGUGAGGAAUAUUGGUCAAUGGACGAGAGUCUGAACCAGCCAAGUAGCGUGAAGGAUGACUGCCCUAUGGGUUGUAAACUUCUUUUAUAUGGGAAUAAAACGUUCCACGUGUGGGAUUUUGUAUGUACCAUAUGAAUAAGGAUCGGCUAACUCCGUGCCAGCAGCCGCGGUAAUACGGAGGAUCCGAGCGUUAUCCGGAUUUACUGGGUGUAAAGGGAGCGCAGACGGCAGUGCAAGUCUGGAGUGAAAGCCCGGGGCCCAACCCCGGAACUGCUCUGGAAACUGUGCGGCUAGAGUACUGGAGGGGCAGGCGGAAUUCCUAGUGUAGCGGUGAAAUGCUUAGAUAUCACGAAGAACUCCGAUUGCGAAGGCAGUUCACUGGACUGCAACUGACACUGAGGCUCGAAAGUGUGGGUAUCAAACAGGAUUAGAUACCCUAGUAGUC
RNAcentral lists this ribosomal RNA (460 nucleotides) under uncultured bacterium. RNAcentral's name for it is "partial 16S ribosomal RNA". It matches the Rfam family "Bacterial small subunit ribosomal RNA", at positions 338 to 795 of the family's 1533-position model. The record is from RNAcentral.